This 45-nucleotide non-coding RNA is filed under the name Echinostoma caproni. The record is from RNAcentral. Lineage: Eukaryota; Metazoa; Platyhelminthes; Trematoda; Plagiorchiida; Echinostomatidae.
GCACUGCUGACGAGUCCCAAAUAGGACGAAACAGCUGUUCAGUGC